GCUGGUGCAGCUGAUGACUUCACUUUUUUUCCCCAUCAGAUCGACCCUGUUGAUCUCAUAAGCUAAUAGCCAGUUUUUGUCUGAUGCAUUGGU
Molecule: small nucleolar RNA, 93 nt
Organism: Psammomys obesus (fat sand rat)
Lineage: Eukaryota; Metazoa; Chordata; Mammalia; Rodentia; Muridae
Product: small nucleolar SNORD12/SNORD106
Exons: 1
Source: RefSeq, a predicted model, not a curated record